Molecule: long non-coding RNA, 733 nt
Organism: Magallana angulata
Lineage: Eukaryota; Metazoa; Mollusca; Bivalvia; Ostreida; Ostreidae
Exons: 3
Source: RefSeq, a predicted model, not a curated record
UUAUAACCUUAAACGAAAUGAAAAUCAAGCAAUAUCGGGAGUUACUACAGAUUUAUGUAAACAGAAAUUUAAAAGAUUUACUCCACCCCAGGUGUGAUUUAAUGAAUUUUCUGCCUAUUCAUAUCAAUAGGGGAGUUCAACACACAUCUUGUAACAUGGCUUUUUGACGGUAGGAAGCGCAUUCAUGGCUUAAACUGAUCUCUCCUGUUACACCAAUGGUGAAACGGCAAAAGAUGGGGUGAUAAACGGCGGGAAGAUACCGUACGAAUGCUGGUCUGGCUCUUGAAGAGGUGUCGAGGAUUGGAUUGCGUCCCUUGUUUUUUGAGAGAAAGAAGAUUUCCAAGGAAGGACUGCAUACAAAGGAAAAGGGCUUUAUUUAUAUUGAAUAAACCAAUGGGAUUAAAGCAGGAAAGAACACGUCAUAUAUGAUAACAUAUUAUCACAAAAUUUUACUUAUACGUUAAUAAAGUCUUAUUUGUGUGGUUUUUAAACAUUAAAGUUAAACACAGAAGGAUAUCAUAUCAAAAUUUGUGAGUCAAAAGCAAUGUAAAAUAGUAAUUUCAAUUAUCCAAACUUUGAAAAUUCGUAAAUCUGCACCAAAUUUAUAGAUCAGUGAUCAUUUUUUAUAUAUUAAACAGAAUAAAUAUUACCUUUCCUUAUUUGGGCGUGUUGUUUUCCUUUCGAACAAACAAUAAGUACUUCUAUUCAUUAUUGACUGACAUAUGAGACAGCC